RNAcentral lists this unclassified non-coding RNA (236 nucleotides) under plant metagenome. RNAcentral describes it as "partial contains small subunit ribosomal RNA, internal transcribed spacer 1, and 5.8S ribosomal RNA". The record is from RNAcentral.
UGUCCGUAGGUGAACCUGCGGAAGGAUCAUUACUGAGUGAGGGCCCCUCGGGGUCCAACCUCCCACCCGUGUUUAACGAACCUUGUUGCUUCGGCGGGCCCGCCUCACGGCCGCCGGGGGGCAUCUGCCCCCGGGCCCGCGCCCGCCGAAGCCACCUGUGAACGCUGUCUGAAGUAUGCAGUCUGAGACAAUUAUUAAAUUAAUUAAAACUUUCAACAACGGAUCUCUUGGUUCCG